GGAAUAUUGGACAAUGGGGGAAACCCUGAUCCAGCAAUGCCGCGUGUGUGAAGAAGGCCUGCGGGUUGUAAAGCACUUUCAGUAGAGAAGAAAAGCUCGCGGUUAAUACCCGAUGAGUCUUGACGUAACCUACAGAAGCAGCACCGGCUACCUCCGUUCCAGCAGCCGCGGUAACACGGAGGGUGCAAGCGUUAAUCGGAAUUACUGGGCUGAAAGCGCGCGUAGGCGGUUUUGUAAGUCGGAUGUGAAAGCCCAGGGCUUAACCUUGGAAUUGCAUUCGAUACUGCUUAACUAGAGUAUGGUAGAGGGAAGUGGAAUUUCCGGUGUAGCGGUGAAAUGCGUAGAUAUCGGAAGGAACACCAGUGGCGAAGGCGACUUCCUGGGCCAAUACUGACGCUGAGGUGCGAAAGCGUGGGGAGCAAAC
Molecule: ribosomal RNA, 424 nt
Filed under: uncultured bacterium
Lineage: Bacteria
Description: bacterial SSU rRNA
Rfam family: Bacterial small subunit ribosomal RNA
Source: RNAcentral